CGCUUUUCAUCUCUUUUCCCCACACCCUUGCUGCACGGGCUAUAAUUUAAAACCUUUAAUUCCUCUCAGCAUAUUUGUCAGGCAUUGUCUCUCCACCAUGGGGCUGUUAUAUACGUUAUUCUCUCUGCCUGGGAUGCUCUACCGCCUCUCCCUCUCCCUACAACAUAAGAUCGUAGCAUUAGAUGCUUCAGUGCCAUUUCCUCUAGGAAACCUUCCCUAACCACAACCAACAGAAAACUCGGGGCCUGUGGCACUUGACAUUUCUCCAUUCUAACACCCACCACAUUCAGACUCGCAAGUUCAUUGAGUGCAUUCCUCCCGGGUUGUAGCUCCACGAUGGCAGGGAAAAUGUUGAAGGUCUAUAUUGAGAAUCACUUUAUUUCAGGAGUCCAACACCAUGUCUGAAACAUCACCAUAGAACAAGAUGGAUGGAUGUUUUCAUCACAACUAUGGAUAUUAGACCUUGCUGAGAUUCUCUCUCCCUGGGGCCUUCCUGUUCCAUCUGCUCCAGCUUACUGGUUCCCCUGCAAAAACAGCAAAGGAUGCCAUCCCUGCACUGGGUAUGUAACUGAACUGAUUAUAUUAGAUUUGGUGCUAUUAAUUUUUAAUAACUUCAGCAAGAAGUAAUUGGGCAGAAUUUCUCCUAUUUCACAGAAGGGCAGGUUGAGGC
Pan paniscus (pygmy chimpanzee) is the source of this 670-nucleotide long non-coding RNA. The record is from Ensembl. NCBI's taxonomy places the organism in Eukaryota, Metazoa, Chordata, Mammalia, Primates, Hominidae.